Homo sapiens (human) is the source of this 2399-nucleotide long non-coding RNA. RefSeq lists it as uncharacterized. The transcript has 2 exons. NCBI's taxonomy places the organism in Eukaryota, Metazoa, Chordata, Mammalia, Primates, Hominidae. The record is from RefSeq and is a predicted model, not a curated record.
AGAGAUUGGUUGUUGCCAUGUUUCACAGGCUGGUCUUGAACUCCUGGGAGCAAAUGAUCGCCUAUCUCAGCCUCCCAAAGUGCUGGGAUUAUAGGCGUGAGCCACCGUGCCUGGCUGAAAUAUUUUAACCUAUCUGAGCUUCAGUUUCCUGCCUAUAAAAUGAAAAUAACAAAACACACCUAUUAAACAUUGAGAUAAUGCAUGUAAGCUACUUGGCACAGUACUGAGCACAUAGUAAAAGCUCAAAAAUCAGUAGUCACCAUCAUCGUUACUUUUUGACUUGUUCUCAUGUGUUCUUUUUGAAAUUCAAAAUAUCCAGCUGGCUUGAAGAUAGUUGUCACGUUUUAUAGUCAGCUAUCAUAGACUGAGCUAUGUCAUAUGUAAUAGUACAGUGUGUUGAAAGAGUAAUUAUUCAGAAGCAUUUUCAGGUAACCAGUGACAUUGAUUUUCAGAACUAGUACGGAGGCUUGAGAGGCUCAGGUGUAAAAGGUAAUUUAGUACUUAGAGGGGGUUGAGUAGUAACAGAAAGUAGUUGUCAGACCACAGGUAUAAACAUAGGUGAGGGCACAGAAUCAUUGAUUUGCCUUGAUUUUCACAUAUUCAAGAAGAAAGUAACUUUGUGAAUAAAUAAUGCGUUCAUAAAGGUAUAAAACUCAGGAGGUUCAAGUGUCCCAUCCAUCUUAACCCUCAGCCUCCCACGACUCCAUCUGUAGAGGCAACCAGUGUUGAGAAAAAUUGUGUGGAUAAGCAUUAAGUAUUAAUGUUUUUACCUGGUUUUUGUACACACACUACCUUAUUUUUCCUUUACCAGUAUGUUUUAGAGGUCAUUCAGAUCAUAUAUAAAAUAUUCACAUUUUCUCUCCCCCCCACCUCCUUCUUUGGUUUUCCAAAGGUACCUUCAUAAUAUAAAGAGGUUUACUGAAAAAUUUCAGAAAUUGUUUCAGCUGCAUCUCUGUUCUUUUCGUGGCAUGGAAUACAUGCAAUGAAGGAAAAUACCGAUGGCACCAUUUCAUAGACAUACUCAAAGGAUGACAAGCACUUAAGGACCAGCACAGCACAGCGGUGAACUCUCAAGACAGUAUGACAGUAAUGAGAUGACGAAGGCACAUCUUGUUUCCUGGAAAAUUCUGCAUGAUAGGAGACUGACAAAGCAAAGAACCAUGAUGUGUCUUAGAGAACCAGAAUGGUCAGAGACUCUGAUGAUCCCCUGGUCCACACGUGACUGAGAGUUAAUACCUUAGGUCACUGUUCUCAGAACCUGGAUAUUUAUAUGCACGUGCACCUCAGUGACUGAUCCAUUCUCAGUUUUCAGGUCCAUUGCUUUCACAUUUGAAAUAGUCAAGGAGCAUCUUUAUGACUGGGGCUGAGCUUCUGCAUUCAUGUACAGCCCUCUGCCUGCCAGCAGUGCCUUGCAUUUGUGAUCCUACAAAGAGCCUGUGGACUUAAUGGUUUACUGUAUAGGGAAAGGCUUGACUUUGUGUCUUCUACUUAAGAAGCUUGAACUUUUUACCAAAUAUUCGUACUCCUUUUCCUGAAAAUACUGAUCUAGGCUACAGAUCCAUCUCUUAACCAUAUUUGAAAAAUUGAAAUAAUAUCUUCUGCCAUAACUUGAAAUUCCACUCUCAGAUCUGUUAUUUCUGACAGUGAGUUUGUAUUUCUCAAGUAGAUAUGUCUGAUGCUUAUUUCUUUUACAGCAUCUGGCUCAGUGCAUGGCUCAUAUAUCUGUAGAGUGAGUAAAUACAGGGAAUGUUUCCUAUGUGUAUGGCAAGGGUCACAGACUCAGGCAGGUAACAGAUGAGCAAGGCAGAGGGUGGAGACUGGUAAACUAGACAACUAGAUAGGUCAGGUCAAUCGGGGGCAGCACCUGCUCAGCCAUAGCAGAUUGUGGCCAUGUGGGGAUAUAGGUCUCAUAUUGCCAGAUUUCCUGGGUUUUCAAGAAAAAGUGAAAAAUCUGGAUUUUUAUGUGAGAUCUUCCAGUAUUUCAGCAUCAGGUUCUUUUUGUUUGUGAGUGCUUUGGCCCUCACAGCCUGCCUGCCACAUCUGACUUGUGGACUGCCGGCUUGAAACCUUUGAUAUUUAGAGAAGUGGUUAGACCUUAGAGUUGGUUCUGGUGAGAUCCUUCUUGUUUUACAGAUGAGGUUUCUGAGACCGAAAGAAGGGAAGUGACUUGCUCAAAGUCUCACUGUUACUCAGUGGCAAAACAAGACUAGAAUUUGGGUUUCCUGGUCCAUAACCUGUCACUUUCUUUUUUCUUAACUACAAUACCUCCUUUAUGAAGACCUUCAUAAAUUCUAGGAUGGUGAAUUCUCCUUUAUUUUGUGUGUCGUGUGCAAGUGGACAUGUGUGUAUUUACUAAACUCUGUGGACCUGGAAAUACAUUCUGAUAUGACUAUCAGGAA